Molecule: non-coding RNA, 679 nt
Organism: Bemisia tabaci
Lineage: Eukaryota; Metazoa; Arthropoda; Insecta; Hemiptera; Aleyrodidae
Source: RefSeq, a predicted model, not a curated record
GAUCGCAAUUGUGAUUAUUUUCGUUUAGAUACUCGUUAAAGUCUUGAAAAUUUAGCUUUGAAAGCCAAAACCUAUAACCACCGGUCCAUUUCCGGAAGAAAGGCGCAUAACGGAAAAUUAUAAAAAAUUCCUCCCACAACACUGAAAGAAGUGUAAGUUUUAUCAAUGGUCGUUAUUCAUUCUAGGGUGUAUGAACGUUGAUAUGAGUGCCCCAGUUCCGAUGUAUAUGUCAUCAUCCGUGCCCAGAAAGUAGGAAUGAAAACUUCAAAUGCGUUUUUCUCACAACUCGUUUUUUCGCCAUUGAUAUAUAAUUACUGAACGGGCAAAACACAUCUGGAGAAUGCUCACACAUGAAGGUGGUGACAAAAACUACGUCUGAGAAAAGUAGAAGUAGUGCCAGGUGGACCUGCAAGGCGCCGUUCAGGGGCCUAAGCACUAGUAUUUCAACUGAUGUGUACCUCUACGUUGGACCGUGCUCCUGAACCAGAUCUCAUGAUACAAAUCACAUUUUCCGAAAAGCUUAGCAGCCAUUUGAUAAGCCAAAGCUGACUCAAGCUUGCACUAUCCAUGGGCUCACUUUUCUCCUUGUCAUCAGAAGUUAUCAAGGGUUCGUCAACUUCCAUCCUUGAAGAAUUUUGGAUGCCAGGCUCCACAUUAGUGACAUCUAUCACUUUGAUGA